RNAcentral lists this ribosomal RNA (391 nucleotides) under uncultured bacterium. Its description in RNAcentral is "partial 16S ribosomal RNA". It matches the Rfam family "Bacterial small subunit ribosomal RNA", at positions 523 to 918 of the family's 1533-position model. The record is from RNAcentral.
AUACGUAGGUGACAAGCGUUAUCCGGAUUUACUGGGCGUAAAGGGCGUGUAGGCGGUCUUGCAAGUCAGAAGUGAAAUUCCUGAGCUCAACUCGGGCGCUGCUUCUGAAACUGCAGGACUUGAGUGCUGGAGGGGAUAGCGGAAUUCCUAGUGGAGCGGUAAAAUGCGCAGAUAUUAGGAAGAACACCGGUGGCGAAGGCGGCUAUCUGGACAGUAACUGACGCUGAGGCGCGAAAGCGUGGGGAGCAAACAGGAUUAGAUACCCUGGUAGUCCACGCCGUAAAUGAUGAGCACUAAGUGUCGGAUGAAUUUUCGGCGCUGCAGUUAACACAAUAAGUGCUCCGCCUGGGGAGUACGGUCGCAAGACUGAAACUUAAAGGAAUGGACGGGG